CAAAUGGGGGGUGCCUAAUACAUGCAAGUCGAGCGGACAGAUGGGAGCUUGCUCCCUGAUGUUAGCGGCGGACGGGUGAGUAACACGUGGGUAACCUGCCUGUAAGACUGGGAUAACUCCGGGAAACCGGGGCUAAUACCGGAUGGUUGUUUGAACCGCAUGGUUCAAACAUAAAAGGUGGCUUCGGCUACCACUUACAGAUGGACCCGCGGCGCAUUAGCUAGUUGGUGAGGUAACGGCUCACCAAGGCAACGAUGCGUAGCCGACCUGAGAGGGUGAUCGGCCACACUGGGACUGAGACACGGCCCAGACUCCUACGGGAGGCAGCAGUAGGGAAUCUUCCGCAAUGGACGAAAGUCUGACGGAGCAACGCCGCGUGAGUGAUGAAGGUUUUCGGAUCGUAAAGCUCUGUUGUUAGGGAAGAACAAGUGCCGUUCAAAUAGGGCGGCACCUUGACGGUACCUAACCAGAAAGCCACGGCUAACUACGUGCCAGCAGCCGCGGUAAUACGUAGGUGGCAAGCGUUGUCCGGAAUUAUUGGGCGUAAAGGGCUCGCAGGCGGUUUCUUAAGUCUGAUGUGAAAGCCCCCGGCUCAACCGGGGAGGGUCAUUGGAAACUGGGGAACUUGAGUGCAGAAGAGGAGAGUGGAAUUCCACGUGUAGCGGUGAAAUGCGUAGAGAUGUGGAGGAACACCAGUGGCGAAGGCGACUCUCUGGUCUGUAACUGACGCUGAGGAGCGAAAGCGUGGGGAGCGAACAGGAUUAGAUACCCUGGUAGUCCACGCCGUAAACGAUGAGUGCUAAGUGUUAGGGGGUUUCCGCCCCUUAGUGCUGCAGCUAACGCAUUAAGCACUCCGCCUGGGGAGUACGGUCGCAAACUGAUACUCAAAGAUUUGACGGGGGCCCGCACAAGCGGUGGAGCAUGUGUUUAAUUCGAAUCAACGCUAAGACCUA
RNAcentral lists this ribosomal RNA (953 nucleotides) under Bacillus sp. (in: firmicutes). Its description in RNAcentral is "bacterial SSU rRNA". It matches the Rfam family "Bacterial small subunit ribosomal RNA", at positions 30 to 971 of the family's 1533-position model. Lineage: Bacteria; Bacillati; Bacillota; Bacilli; Caryophanales; Bacillaceae. The record is from RNAcentral.